Pelobates cultripes (western spadefoot toad) is the source of this 249-nucleotide non-coding RNA. NCBI's taxonomy places the organism in Eukaryota, Metazoa, Chordata, Amphibia, Anura, Pelobatidae. The record is from the annotation of a GenBank genome assembly.
UAAAAGAUUAUCUAUUUUAGGUGCUUAUACAAACAUUCACACACUUAUAUCACAAAUUUCAGUUGACCUGCCGAACAUUGCACUGAUUAAAUUCUAGCAAAAGUAAGUAUUUCAAUGUAAAUAUUUUACUUUAAACAGUUAUUGGAAAUGGUGCAUUAUUGAAUCUCAAGUGCAGCCCUUAUAAUUAAUCUCUGUCCCCCUUUCACUAAACAAAAAGUAUAUUUGGGUUUAAUAAUUAGCAUUUCCAGU